UUAAGUUAUAAGUCUUUCAAACUUAUUGCAGAUUGCUGAUGCUCUUUUACUACAAUGCAACAAUGACACUUGGCAUAUUGCAAAAGCUUGGGGUGGCAGUAAAAGUUUUUAAUCUCUGGUUUCAGAUGCUACAAUAGGUUAAAAAAAAAAGUGGUUUGCAUGCUAAUUUUAGAAGGGAACAUGAUAAGAAAGUUUGCUUGUUGGGAUUGACUUCACUUCUUACACUUCCUGUGGACCAGUUACCCGGAGAAGCACUGGAACAUGUGUUUAGAGCAACACUUGACCAGCUUGUUGCUUACAAGGAUAAGUUGCAGGGUCAAAGAUUUAGCCAAUACCUUCAAACCAUGGCUUUUGGAUCAAGGGAUUGAGGGUGCUUUGCUAUACAUUAUCUACACUGGGCUCUAAACAUGAUUCAUCUGACAUUUGGAGCAUUCUUUUUCAAGAAAACAAAAAAUAGAGCCAACAAAAUAUCAAGUUGUGUUGGACAAAAUGGACAGUCCAAUCAACUUUUGAAUAAUUUUUUGUAUUUUAUUUAUAAUGUUAAACUUAUAUGUAUUUCUGCGUGGAUGAAUGUGAU
This is a long non-coding RNA of Magnolia sinica, 577 nucleotides long. RefSeq lists it as uncharacterized. The transcript is spliced from 3 exons. Lineage: Eukaryota; Viridiplantae; Streptophyta; Magnoliopsida; Magnoliales; Magnoliaceae. The record is from RefSeq and is a predicted model, not a curated record.